GCUGUCUCGUAGUUCAGAUCUGUGACUACCUUCAGAAAACGCACUGUUAGCGAAACCGUGUGUUCUUCGCAAGUGAAAAGAGGAGAGGACAAGGGAGAUUGUUCAGCCCACAUUAGGGCUACUGUGGACCUGCAUCAAUGCUGAUUGGACGGAUACUCAACUAGGAUGUCGAAACAACCUAAUGUGGGCCAGAUAUGUUGGAGUGUGUCGCAGCCAAGCUAACUAUGUUUUACAAGGAAAGGAAGACAUAGAAGAUCAAUAAGAUCACUGACGAUGGACAAUGGGGAUACCUGCAGUCUGAAGAACAAUAAAAAGAUG
This is a long non-coding RNA of Seriola dumerili (greater amberjack), 318 nucleotides long. RefSeq lists it as uncharacterized. The transcript has 3 exons. NCBI's taxonomy places the organism in Eukaryota, Metazoa, Chordata, Actinopteri, Carangiformes, Carangidae. The record is from RefSeq and is a predicted model, not a curated record.